RNAcentral lists this ribosomal RNA (490 nucleotides) under uncultured bacterium. RNAcentral's name for it is "partial 16S ribosomal RNA". It matches the Rfam family "Bacterial small subunit ribosomal RNA", at positions 30 to 507 of the family's 1533-position model. The record is from RNAcentral.
AUUGAACGCUGGCGGCAGGCCUAACACAUGCAAGUCGAACGGUAACAGGAAGAGGCUUGCUUCUUUGCUGACGAGUGGCGGACGUGUGAGUAAUGUCUGGGAAACUGCCUGAUGGAGGGGGAUAACUACUGGAAACGGUAGCUAAUACCGCAUAACGUCGCAAGACCAAAGAGGGGGACCUUCGGACCUCUUGCCAUCGGAUGUGCCCAGAUGGGAUUAGCUAGUAGGUGGGGUAACGGCUCACCUAGGCGACGAUCCCUAGCUGGUCUGAGAGGAUGACCAGCCACACUGGAACUGAGACACGGUCCAGACUCCUACGGGAGGCAGCAGUGGGGAAUAUUGCACAAUGGGCGAAAGCCUGAUGCAGCCAUGCCGCGUGUAUGAAGAAGGCCUUCGGGUUGUAAAGUACUUUCAGCGGGGAGGAAGGGAGUAAAGUUAAUACCUUUGCUCAUUGACGUUACCCGCAGAAGAAGCCCCGGCUAACUACGUG